This 475-nucleotide ribosomal RNA is filed under the name uncultured bacterium. Its description in RNAcentral is "partial 16S ribosomal RNA". It matches the Rfam family "Bacterial small subunit ribosomal RNA", at positions 355 to 822 of the family's 1533-position model. The record is from RNAcentral.
UGGGGAAUAUUGCACAAUGGGCGCAAGCCUGAUGCAGCCAUGCCGCGUGUGUGAAGAAGGCCUUCGGGUUGUAAAGCACUUUCAGCGAGGAGGAAGGUGGUGAGCUUAAUACGCUCAUCAAUUGACGUUACUCGCAGAAGAAGCACCGGCUAACUCCGUGCCAGCAGCCGCGGUAAUACGGAGGGUGCAAGCGUUAAUCGGAAUUACUGGGCGUAAAGCGCACGCAGGCGGUUUGUUAAGUCAGAUGUGAAAUCCCCGGGCUCAACCUGGGAACUGCAUUUGAAACUGGCAAGCUAGAGUCUCGUAGAGGGGGUAGAAUUCCAGGUGUAGCGGUGAAAUGCGUAGAGAUCUGGAGGAAUACCGGUGGCGAAGGCGGCCCCCUGGACGAAGACUGACGCUCAGGUGCGAAAGCGUGGGGCAGCAAACAGGAUUAGAUACCCUGGUAGUCCACGCUGUAAACGAUGUCGAUUUUGGA